RNAcentral lists this ribosomal RNA (281 nucleotides) under uncultured prokaryote. RNAcentral describes it as "partial 16S ribosomal RNA". It matches the Rfam family "Bacterial small subunit ribosomal RNA", at positions 505 to 785 of the family's 1533-position model. The record is from RNAcentral.
GUGCCAGCAGCCGCGGUAAUACGUAGGUGGCAAGCGUUGUCCGGAAUUAUUGGGCGUAAAGGGCUCGCAGGCGGUUCCUUAAGUCUGAUGCGAAAGCCCCCGGCUCAACCGGGGAGGGUCAUUGGAAACUGGGGAACUUGAGUGCAGAAGAGGAGAGUGGAAUUCCACGUGUAGCGGUGAAACGCGUAGAGAUGUGGAGGAACACCAGUGGCGAAGGCGACUCUCUGGUCUGUAACUGACGCUGAGGAGCGAAAGCGUGGGGAGCGAACAGGAUUAGAAAC